GCUAGUUGCGCGGGUUUAGCCCCGCGGCGACAAGCUCAGUAACACGUGGCCAAGCUACCCUGUGGACGGGAAUAAUCUCGGGAAACUGAGGCUAAUCCCCGAUAACGCUUCACCCCUGGAAGGGAUGAAGCCGGAAACGCUCCGGCGCCACAGGAUGCGGCUGCGGUCGAUUAGGUAGACGGUGGGGUAACGGCCCACCGUGCCCAUAAUCGGUACGGGUUGUGAGAGCAAGAGCCCGGAGACGGAACCUGAGACAAGAUUCCGGGCCCUACGGGGCGCAGCAGGCGCGAAACCUUUACACUGUACGCAAGUGCGAUAAGGGGACUCCGAGUGUGAAGGCAUAGAGCCUUCACUUUUGUACACCGUAAGGUGGUGUACGAAUAAGGACUGGGCAAGACCGGUGCCAGCCGCCGCGGUAAUACCGGCAGUCCGAGUGAUGGCCGAUCUUAUUGGGCCUAAAGCGUCCGUAGCUGGCUAGACAAGUCCGUUGGGAAAUCUGCCCGCUUAACGGGCAGGCGUCCAGCGGAAACUGUCUAGCUUGGGACCGGAAGACCUGAGGGGUACGUCUGGGGUAGGAGUGAAAUCCUGUAAUCCUGGACGGACCGCCGGUGGCGAAAGCGCCUCAGGAGAACGGAUCCGACAGUGAGGGACGAAAGCUAGGGUCUCGAACCGGAUUAGAUACCCGGGUAGUCCUAGCCGUAAACAAUGUCUGUUAGGUGUGGCUCC
This 726-nucleotide ribosomal RNA is filed under the name uncultured archaeon. RNAcentral describes it as "bacterial SSU rRNA". It matches the Rfam family "Archaeal small subunit ribosomal RNA", at positions 53 to 780 of the family's 1478-position model. The record is from RNAcentral.